CCUACGGGGGGCUGCAGUGGGGAAUAUUGGACAAUGGGGGGAACCCUGAUCCAGCCAUGCCGCGUGUGUGAAGAAGGCCUUUUGGUUGUAAAGCACUUUAAGUGGGGAGGAGGCUUACCUGGUUAAUACCUGGGCUAAGUGGACGUUACCCACAGAAUAAGCACCGGCUAACUCUGUGCCAGCAGCCGCGGUAAUACAGAGGGUGCGAGCGUUAAUCGGAUUUACUGGGCGUAAAGCGCGCGUAGGUGGUUAAUUAAGUCAAAUGUGAAAUCCCC
This 275-nucleotide ribosomal RNA is filed under the name uncultured Acinetobacter sp. Its description in RNAcentral is "partial 16S ribosomal RNA". It matches the Rfam family "Bacterial small subunit ribosomal RNA", at positions 338 to 604 of the family's 1533-position model. The record is from RNAcentral. Lineage: Bacteria; Pseudomonadati; Pseudomonadota; Gammaproteobacteria; Moraxellales; Moraxellaceae.